CUUCUUCAUCGAUUGUAACUCAAUUUUUUUGGAGAUGUUCCUCCCAUUUCACUCAAACUUGUUGAUUUUGGGGGACUGAAAGACAAGUGCCUGAUCUACACUCCAACCAAAGCAAAAGGUUUGGAGGCCGCCUCAAGGUAUACCAUCAGUGGUUUGCAAUCACCUUCUUGGUGAUAUUUCAACGAGAAGAAGGCCAGAAGUCGAUGGGAGGUCGACACAGCGUCUGUUCCCCUGCCGUGCCUGCACCCAGCAGGGCCUCUCACCAGGCUCAACUUCGCCAGA
Long non-coding RNA from Triticum dicoccoides, 282 nucleotides. RefSeq lists it as uncharacterized. The transcript has 3 exons. Lineage: Eukaryota; Viridiplantae; Streptophyta; Magnoliopsida; Poales; Poaceae. The record is from RefSeq and is a predicted model, not a curated record.